This is a non-coding RNA of Aegilops tauschii subsp. strangulata, 676 nucleotides long. The record is from RefSeq and is a predicted model, not a curated record. NCBI's taxonomy places the organism in Eukaryota, Viridiplantae, Streptophyta, Magnoliopsida, Poales, Poaceae.
UAUAAAUAGCCAGAUUCUUUUUUGGUUUUUUCUUGGGCGUCGAUGAGCACAGUAGCUCGGAGGAGGCCACCAUGGAGCUGAUGCCACCUCGGCAAACAAAACCUGUGCAUAACGAGAACGACGAGGCGAGCCAAUACUAUAGAGGAGCUGAACCAUAGUGAGGUAUUAAUUUUAAGUAGCAAUAUUGGUUGCUAGCAUAGGAAAGGUUUGACGUAUCUGUCCACCUUUUAAAAUAUAAGUAUCUAAAUACUGAAUAAUGAUUAUAGUGCUUUAAGACAAUCAGGUGCCGUUUGGUUUAGCAUAUAAGUGUCUAAUUACUAUAUAUAGGUAUCUAUCCACACUUUGCUUUAACAAUCAGGCAUCGUUUUCUUCAUCUUGCUAGCUCCAGUUUGUUGCAGAGGAACUAUAGUGAUCUAUGACCGGACUUCCUGUUGAUUUAGUGAUUUAUGAUUCCUACAAGUAUAUAGGAAUAUUUUAGCUCCAUCAUAGGAAAAAUAAUCUGAAAUAGAGUUUCGGUGAACUUGAAUAUCAUGGCGUGCACUUGCUUCAUUUACCUAGUUAACAAUAAAAAGGCCAAGUCUUUCAUAUUGAAAUGGCAUUUUUUUGUUCAACAUGAUAUUGUGAUUCUAGCCUCAUUUAGUCUGUGUUGCAGGUUAAGAAAUUUACAGUUUAAAAA